ACGAGAACAGAAAUCUCGUG
Molecule: small RNA, 20 nt
Filed under: Arabidopsis thaliana (thale cress)
Lineage: Eukaryota; Viridiplantae; Streptophyta; Magnoliopsida; Brassicales; Brassicaceae
Description: Ath_wt_15643
Source: RNAcentral